GGCUCAGGAUGAACGCUGGCGCGUGCCUAAUACAUGCAAGUCGAACGCACAGCGAAAGGUGCUUGCACUUUCAAGUGAGUGGCGAACGGGUGAGUAACACGUGGAUAACCUACCUCAAGGUUGGGGAUAACAUUUGGAAACAGAUGCUAAUACCGAAUAAAACUUAGUAUCGCAUGAUACCAGGUUAAAAGGCGCUACGGCGUCACCUAGAGAUGGAUCCGCGGUGCAUUAGUUAGUUGGUGGGGUAAAGGCUUACCAAGACAAUGAUGCAUAGCCGAGUUGAGAGACUGAUCGGCCACAUUGGGACUGAGACACGGCCCAAACUCCUACGGGAGGCUGCAGUAGGGAAUCUUCCACAAUGGGCGAAAGCCUGAUGGAGCAACGCCGCGUGUGUGAUGAAGGCUUUCGGGUCGUAAAGCACUGUUGUAUGGGAAGAACAGCUAGAGUAGGGAAUGACUUUAGUUUGACGGUACCAUACCAGAAAGGGUCGGCUAAAUACGUG
This 502-nucleotide ribosomal RNA is filed under the name uncultured bacterium. RNAcentral's name for it is "bacterial SSU rRNA". It matches the Rfam family "Bacterial small subunit ribosomal RNA", at positions 21 to 507 of the family's 1533-position model. The record is from RNAcentral.